AUUUUUUAGCUUAUUUUUUGUUAUUUGUUUUUCCGUGUUUAAUAAAAGUAUUUUUUUUUUUAGUAAUGUUUAUUGAAUAAAUUCUUUUUAUUAUAGUUUAUUAGUAUUGAGAAAGAAAGUUUAAAUAGAAUGAAAUAUAUAAAUUUUAAAAAGAAUAAUUAAUUUUUUGUACCUUGUGUAUCAGGGCUUAUUAAAAUAGAGCUCAAUAUUUAGUUUUCUCGAAUUAAGAAGAGCUAAUUUGAUAUAAAUAUUAUUGUAGCAUGAAUAUUUAUAAUAUUAAGUUAGUAAUGAAACGUUAUUCGUUUUUUAAGAUAUCUAGUUUCUUGAGAAAAGAAUUUAAUUCUUUCACUUUUAUUCAUUUUGUUUUAUAUUUAAUUUUUUGGUAGAGAGUGGUUAAUACUUAAGGGGAUAAGCUUUUAAGUAAAUUCUUAUAAUAUUUUUAUUCAUUAAUUGAUUUGUAGGAUUAGAAAUUUUUAUCUUUUAAGUUUGUUAUAAUUUAUCUUUUAGUGAAUUUAAUUUUUAUUUUGUUUAGGUUUUUUAUCAAGAAAAAGUUUAUAAUUUUUGUAAACUUGUAAUAAUGAUAAGAUUAGUAUAAAUUGUUGUUUAUAUUAUUUUUUAGUUUAGGUUAAUCUAAGGAACUCGGCAAACUAACUCCUCGCCUGUUUAAUAAAAACAUGUCCUUUUGAUUAUAAUUUAAGGUCUGACCUGCCCAAUGAGUAGUUCAAUGGCCGCGAUAUUUUGAUCGUGCGAAGGUAGCAUAAUCAUUAGUUCCUUAAUUGGGAGCUGGUAUGAAUGGUUGGACGAGGGAGAAACUGUCUCAGGUUAAAUUUAUUAGAACUUUAUUUUUAAGUAAAAAAGCUUAAAUGUUAUUUAAAGACGAGAAGACCCUAUAGAGUUUUAUACUUUUAUUUAUAUUUAAAUUGAAGAAUUUAAUUUUGUUUGUUUUUAAAAGUAUUUGGUUGGGGCGACAGGAAAAUUUAAUAAACUUUUUCUUUCUAAAGAUAUUGAUGUAUAGAUUUUUGAUCCAUUUUUUAUGAUUAAAAGAUUAAAUUACCUUAGGGAUAACAGCGUAAUCUUUCUAAAGAGUUCUUAUCGAAAGAGAGGAUUGCGACCUCGAUGUUGGAUUAAAGUUAAUUUUUGGUGUAGAAGCUAAAAUAUUAAGUCUGUUCGACUUUUAAAACUUUACAUGAUCUGAGUUUAAACCGGCGUGAGCCAGGUUGGCUUCUAUCUUAAAUAGAAUAAAAUAUCUUAGUACGAAAGGACCAGGUAUUUAAUAAAAUAUUUUUAUUAUGAUUAUUAUU
RNAcentral lists this ribosomal RNA (1301 nucleotides) under Julodis variolaris. RNAcentral describes it as "16S ribosomal RNA". The stretch from base 542 to 1301 matches the Rfam family "Archaeal large subunit ribosomal RNA", at positions 1423 to 2825 of the family's 2987-position model. The record is from RNAcentral. Lineage: Eukaryota; Metazoa; Arthropoda; Insecta; Coleoptera; Buprestidae.